Molecule: ribosomal RNA, 253 nt
Filed under: uncultured bacterium
Lineage: Bacteria
Description: partial 16S ribosomal RNA
Rfam family: Bacterial small subunit ribosomal RNA
Source: RNAcentral
UACGUAGGGAGCGAACGUUGUCCGGAAUUACUGGGUGUAAAGGGAGCGUAGGCGGGAUUGCAAGUUGGAUGUGAAAACUGCGGGCUCAACCCGGAGCGUGCAUUCAAAACUGCGAUUCUUGAGUGAGGUAGAGGCAAGCGGAAUUCCUAGUGUAGCGGUGAAAUGCGUAGAUAUUAGGAGGAACACCAGUGGCGAAGGCGGCUUGCUGGGCUUUUACUGACGCUGAGGCUCGAAAGUGUGGGGAGCAAACAGG